RNAcentral lists this ribosomal RNA (851 nucleotides) under uncultured marine group I thaumarchaeote. Its description in RNAcentral is "bacterial SSU rRNA". It matches the Rfam family "Archaeal small subunit ribosomal RNA", at positions 1 to 859 of the family's 1478-position model. The record is from RNAcentral. Lineage: Archaea; Thermoproteati; Nitrososphaerota.
UUCCGGUUGAUCCUGCCAGACCUGACUGCUAUCGGAUUGAUACUAAGCCAUGCGAGUCUUUGUAGUAAUACAAGGCAUACGGCUCAGUAACGCGUAGUCAACCUACCCUAUGGACGAGAAUAAUCUCGGGAAACUGAGCAUAAUUCUUGAUAGAUCAUAAUGCCUGGAAUGGUUUAUGGUUAAAAUGAUUCGUCGCCAUAGGAUGGGACUGCGGCCUAUCAGCUUGUUGGUGAGGUAAUGGCCCACCAAGGCGAUUACAGGUACGGGCUCUGAGAGGAGAAGCCCGGAGAUGGGUACUGAGACACGGACCCAGGCCCUAUGGGGCGCAGCAGGCGAGAAAACUUUGCAAUGUGCGAAAGCACGACAAGGUUAAUCCGAGUGAUUUCUGCUAAAGAAAUCUUUUGCAAGUCAUAAAACCACUAGUGAAUAAGGGGUGGGCAAGUUCUGGUGUCAGCCGCCGCGGUAAAACCAGCACCUCAAGUGGUCAGGAUGAUUAUUGGGCCUAAAGCAUCCGUAGCCGGCUCUGUAAGUUUUCGGUUAAAUCCACGUGCUCAACGCAUGGGCUGCCGAAAAUACUGCAUAGCUAGGGAGUGGGAGAGGUAGACGGUACUCGGUAGGAAGGGGUAAAAUCCUUUGAUCUAUCGAUGACCACCUGUGGCGAAGGCGGUCUACCAGAACACGUUCGACGGUGAGGGAUGAAAGCUGGGGGAGCAAACCGGAUUAGAUACCCGGGUAGUCCCAGCUGUAAACGAUGCAGACUCGAUGAUGCAUUGGCAUAUAGCCAGUGCAGUGUCGCAGGGAAGCCGUUAAGUCUGCCGCCUGGGAAGUACGUACGCAAGUAUGAAACUUAA